AGCGAACGCUGGCGGCAGGCUUAACACAUGCAAGUCGAACGCAUCCUUCGGGGUGAGUGGCAGACGGGUGAGUAACACGUGGGAACGUACCCUUCGAUCUGGGAUAACUUCGGGAAACUGGAGCUAAUACCGGAUACGCCCUUUUGGGGAAAGGUUUACUGUCGAAGGAUCGGCCCGCGUCUGAUUAGCUAGUUGGUGGGGUAACGGCCUACCAAGGCGACGAUCAGUAGCUGGUCUGAGAGGAUGAUAAGCCACACUGGGACUGAGACACGGCCCAGACUCCUACGGGAGGCAGCAGUGGGGAAUAUUGGACAAUGGGCGCAAGCCUGAUCCAGCCAUGCCGCGUGAGUGAUGAAGGCCUUAGGGUUGUAAAGCUCUUUUGUCCGGGACGAUAAUGACGGUACCGGAAGAAUAAGCCCCGGCUAACUUCGUG
RNAcentral lists this ribosomal RNA (433 nucleotides) under uncultured bacterium. RNAcentral describes it as "partial 16S ribosomal RNA". It matches the Rfam family "Bacterial small subunit ribosomal RNA", at positions 29 to 507 of the family's 1533-position model. The record is from RNAcentral.